Molecule: ribosomal RNA, 877 nt
Filed under: uncultured bacterium
Lineage: Bacteria
Description: bacterial SSU rRNA
Rfam family: Bacterial small subunit ribosomal RNA
Source: RNAcentral
UAGAGUUUGAUCCUGGCUCAGGAUGAACGCUAGCGACAGGCUUAACACAUGCAAGUCGAGGGGCAGCGGGGGUGAUGGCUUGCCAUCACCUGCCGGCGACCGGCGCACGGGUGAGUAACACGUAUGCAACCUGCCCGCCACAGGGGGAUAAGCGGAAGAAAUUCCGUCUAAUACCGCGUGACGCGGCACCGGGGCAUCCCGGUGCCGCCAAAGGGAUUACCGGUGGCGGAUGGGCAUGCGGCGCAUUAGCUAGUCGGCGGGGUAACGGCCCACCGAGGCGACGAUGCGUAGGGGUUCUGAGAGGAAGGUCCCCCACACUGGUACUGAGACACGGACCAGACUCCUACGGGAGGCAGCAGUGAGGAAUAUUGGUCAAUGGGCGCGAGCCUGAACCAGCCAAGUCGCGUGAGGGAUGACGGUCCUACGGAUUGUAAACCUCUUUUGCCGGGGAGCAAGCGUGCGUUCGUGAACGCGCGUCGAGAGUACCCGGAGAAAAAGCAUCGGCUAACUCCGUGCCAGCAGCCGCGGUAAUACGGAGGAUGCGAGCGUUAUCCGGAUUUAUUGGGUUUAAAGGGUGCGUAGGCGGGAUGCCAAGUCAGCGGUAAAAAAGCGGUGCUCAACGCCGUCGAGCCGUUGAAACUGGCGUUCUUGAGUGGGCGAGAAGUAUGCGGAAUGCGUGGUGUAGCGGUGAAAUGCAUAGAUAUCACGCAGAACUCCGAUUGCGAAGGCAGCAUACCGGCGCCCUACUGACGCUGAGGCACGAAAGCGUGGGUAUCGAACAGGAUUAGAUACCCUGGUAGUCCACGCAGUAAACGAUGAAUGCUAACUGUCCGGUGCGAGUGAGCGCUGGGCGGUACAGCGAAAGCGUUAAGCAUUC